UUUAAUGUAGAAAAAACGAAUUUUACCUUCACUUUAUUGCCCUCUGCUGUAGAAGCGUGUGCCUGCGUCUCCGGCUCGGCUCGGCGCACGCGGCUCUGCAGAGGAGCAUCCGCUCUGGUGCCGUCGGUACCCGGGCGGGCCGGCGCGCGGCUCSGCUGCUCGGCUGCGGUGAGUCCCGGGGGGCCGGUGCUGCUGCCGCGCUCGGGGGGACCGAACGGGCUUUGGAGGAUGUCAYGGGAGGUGGCUGAGUGCUUUCGUAAGGCCACCUCCUUUUUAUUUAAAAAUAAGCAAAUAGRGUAUUCAGAAAACGUGGGAAAGUGCAAUGCAAGGUAUCUUUAAAAAUAAUACGAUGUUAUGGUGAAGCAGAUAUUAACAAUAUUAAGGAGAGGAAAAAUAAGAUAUACAACUCUCUUUAAAAACUAAAAAAAARUAUAAAUAUUCCAGUGAGAUUAUAAAUUAGCAAGAGUUUUUAAGUUUUAUAAACUCAUGAUGGAAAAAAUACCCUCUUUUUCUUUUUUUUCCCCAGAAAUUGCCUGGUUUGUCUCGGAUCAGCACCACUUCCCCCAGUCUCACAGCCUGUCAGGAGCCCACCGAAUGCUGCUGUUGGGUCGUCUCCGGGAGCAGCACAGCCAAGCGAUCCAGAGCAGAGCCUCCGUGGGACAGGCUUGCCUGAUGCAGACUGUGAUUAGAGCUGGCGCAAAAAUAUGGGAGACAAAUGAAAAGUGAUGGAGUURCCCCAGUUUCUUGCUGCCUGAACCAGCAGAGGUUGGGGCUGAGCCUGCCAGAAGCAGGGUCUGACGGCUGGAGACCGCCCUGCCGCAGGCCAUCACCAGCUGCGUCCCGCCUGGAAGCCGGAUCACUUGCUGAGCCCUUUGCCUGACGAAUUCAAGGGCCGUUUGCUGUCAGAAAUCUUCUCCCCUGCAAGUACUUAGGCAGUGCUGAAAUCACCUCUUUUGUUGGUUAAACUCAUGGAGCUUGGUUAGGCUUCACUGCAAGGCGAGCUCUCUGGACCUCCAGUCACUCCUGCCACUCUUGUCCUGAAACCUUCCUGGUUUGUCAACAGCCUUUUAAAAAGGUUAUGCGCUUUUAAAAAGUGUUUAUGAGGACUGUUAUUAUAGCACCUGGACAYCAAAACCGGCUCCAAAAAGAUGCUUGACUUUACAAACUAUUUUUGCAAAAUAUCACCAUGUUGGUAUAUAGAGAUAUUCUUUGGUUAUGUGCUAAAUAUAAUAGUAUGCUUAGUUCAUACUACUAAUUAAAAAAAAAAAAAAGCGGUAUGUCCAAUACAUCUCCGAAACAGCAGACGAUGAAUAUUUCUGCGAUGCAACAGCUCUAUAUUUUUUAGUUGGGGAGGGCAACAGUCCACAAGCCCUUUAGGAGCUCGAGUUCUUUCCCGCUUCCAAAGAGCCCGAUGCUGAGCUUUCCAUCCGGCAGAGGUG
RNAcentral lists this long non-coding RNA (1439 nucleotides) under Dromaius novaehollandiae (emu). Its description in RNAcentral is "lncRNA (ENSDNVG00000003418.1)". The record is from RNAcentral. Lineage: Eukaryota; Metazoa; Chordata; Aves; Casuariiformes; Dromaiidae.